Molecule: long non-coding RNA, 2013 nt
Filed under: Homo sapiens (human)
Lineage: Eukaryota; Metazoa; Chordata; Mammalia; Primates; Hominidae
Description: HSALNT0395894
Source: RNAcentral
AGAGGAGGAACAAGUACGUGUACAUUGCAGCACACACCUGUCACCAGGUGACCUAGGGUGUUCUCCCCUGCAGCAGGGAUAUUGUCUGGAAGCCAGUUUCCGGGGUGUCCUAAUCUCGCCUGUGAGACCGGAUAAGGGUGCAGGAACUUGGAGGCCCGGGACGUGACCCGGGCUCCAUCUGUAGCCUGAAGGCUGCCUGGCUUUGGGUGCACAGCUGGUCCAUCCAUAAAGUGAAAACGCUGGUCUAAAGCUUUGAUUCUCAAAGUGGGUCCCACGGGGGCCCCAUGGGUUUCUCGGGAGAUGGUAAAGGGAGAGAAGUGAGCAGAAUUUUAACCAUCCCACCCAUUCAGUCAGUCAAUCAACAAACAUUGCUUAUGCACCUAUUGCAUACCAGACCCAGGGAGAGUGCAGGGAGCAAGUGGGUGAAUCAGACAAUACAUGACUUUUGUAAGGGAACAAUUCUUCAGGCCUCUGAGCCCAAGCUAAGCCACCAUCUCCCCUGUGACCUGCACGUGUACAUCCAGAUGGCCUGAAGCAACUGAAGAUCCAGAAAAAAAGUGAAAAUAGCCAGUUCCUGCCUUAACUGAUGACAUUCCACCAUUGCGAUUUGUUCCUGCCUCACCCUAACUGAUCAAUUGACUUUGUGACAAUACACCACCCCCUUGCAAUAAUGUACUUUGUGAUAUUCCCCCGCCCUUGUGAACAUACUUUGUACAAUAUACCCUCGUCACCCUUGAGAAGGUGCUUUGUAAUAUCCUCCUCCCUGCCCUUAAGAAGGCACUUUGUAAUAUUCUCCCCCUCCAGCCCUUAAGAAGAUACUUUGUAAUAUUCUCCUCACCCUUGAGAAUGUACUUUGUAAGAUCUACCACCUGCCCGCAAAAAAUUGCUCCUAACUCCACUGCCUAUCCCAAACCUAUAAGAACUAAUGAUAAUCCCACCACCCUUUGCUAACUCUCUUUUCGGACUCAGCCCGCCUGCACCCAGGUGAUUAAAAAGCUUUAUUGCUCACACGAAGCCUGUUUGGUAGACUCUCUUCACACGGGCGAGUGUGACAUUUGGUGCCGAAGACCCAGGACAGGAGGACUCCUUUGGGAGACCGGUCUCCUGUCCUCGCCCUCACUCCGUGAGGAGAUCCACCUGCAACCUCAGGUCCUCAGACCAACCAGCCGAAGGAACAUCUCACCAAUUUCAAAUGGGGACCCCACUGGAAAUCAGACCGUCCAACUAGCCUGGCAGCCACUCCCAGAGCCCCUGGAACUCUGGCCCCAGGCUCUCUGACUGACUCCUUUUCAGAUCUUCUCAGCUUAGCGGCUGAAGACUGAUGCUGCCUGGUCGCCUCGGAAGCCCCCUGGACCAUCAUGGACGCCGAGCUUCGGGUAACUCUCACAGUGGAGGCCUGUUUGGUGACUUUCUUCGCACCGACGUGCGUGACACAAUGUUUGCAGAAUAUGAAGGUGGCUGUCACGUGGUCUGGGCUUCCUGGAGGUUUGAGCUGGGAGCUGAAGCCCCGUAGGAGUUCUGUAAGUCAAAAGGGAAGAGAAGAGCAUUCCACGUAGAGAAAAGAAUCUGUGCUCCAGGCGCGGUGGCUCACGAUUGUAAUCUCAGCACUUGGUGUCAGGCCUCUGAGCCCAGGCUAAGCCAUUGUAUAUCCCCCGUGACCUGCAUGUAUACAUCCAGAUGGCCUGAAGCAGCUGAAGAACCACAAGAGAAGUGAAAAUAGCCAGUUCCUGCCUUAACUGAUGUCAUUCCACCAUUGUGAUUUGUUCCUGUCCCACCUUUACUGAUCAAUUAACUUUGUGACAUUUCUUCUCCUGGACAAUGAGUCUCAUGAUCUCCCUACCCAGCACCUUGUGACCCCUGCCCCUGCCCGCAAGAGAUAACCAUCUUUAACUGUAACUUUCCACUACCUACCUAAAUCCUGUAAAAACUGACCCACCCCCUAUCUCCCUUUGCUGACUCCUUUUUCGGACUCAGCCCGCCUGCACCCAGGUGAUUAAAAAGCUUUAUUGUUCA